Molecule: long non-coding RNA, 440 nt
Organism: Eurytemora carolleeae
Lineage: Eukaryota; Metazoa; Arthropoda; Copepoda; Calanoida; Temoridae
Exons: 5
Source: RefSeq, a predicted model, not a curated record
AAGGCUUUUUGAUGUACCUUCUCUAGGGUUCACUGCUGUUUACGGAACAAAAUCUUCAAAACAAAAUAAGGUCACACAAGUUGUGAAGAAAAUGCACAGCCCUUCUAGAUCUAAUGUAAAGCUUCAGUAUUACGAAGGUGCUGAUGGAAAUAAAACUGGUGUAUCUGGUAAAGUAAUUUAUGUUUAAUAAAAAUAAAAACAAUUUUUAAAACCCAAUUUUUUUUUUAAUGUAUGAUCAUUCUCAGAACAGUUUUGUCCCGGUUUUUAAUUUGAUUUAAAUUAAUUUUCAAAUUUAAAGUUUUCAGAAAAAAAAAUUUCUUAAUUUUCUAAAAUAGUAAUUUUUAUUUUCAGGCAGAAGGAAAUUCAUCAAUCGAUUGAUUUCAAGUUUUUUUAAUCAUACAAUUAGAAAUUAUUUAAUCUAAAAAUUAUAAAUUAUUUAA